This 524-nucleotide long non-coding RNA is filed under the name Pan troglodytes (chimpanzee). Its description in RNAcentral is "long non-coding RNA NONPTRT009922". Lineage: Eukaryota; Metazoa; Chordata; Mammalia; Primates; Hominidae. The record is from RNAcentral.
GGAAGGUCGAGAUGGACCAUGUUGGGCCCCUUCUCUCCCCGUCCCCAGGCCGCAGUUCGGGGGCCACGCCCCGGCGUGCUCGGGUCACCGCGGGAAGCCCUUGAACCCCCUGGCGCCCGGCACCCACGUGCGGUAACCGCGGCUCCUCGAGAGCUCCAGGGAUGCGGAUCUACAUGUCCAUUCAAGAAUUGUGCCCACAAUAUACCAGGCACUUGUCCAGACCUGCAUCGUCCAAUGCCCACCUCGACCUCCCAAAGUGUUGGGAUUAGAGGCGUGAGCCACCGCGCCCUGCCUGCAUGUGGCUAUUGAGAUGUGCUGUAUGAUACACACUGGACUUUGAAGACUCAGUGUGAAAAAUGAAAAGAAUUUUAAGAGGGGUGGGGGUCGAGGGGAGGCAGAGCAGUAGGACAAAUAGCUAAUGCACGCAGGGCUUAACACCUAGACAACAGGUUGAUGGGUGCAGCAAACCACCAUGACACAUGUUUAUCUAUAUAGCACCUACAUGUUCUGCACUUGGAUCCUGG